Molecule: small nuclear RNA, 20 nt
Filed under: Arabidopsis thaliana (thale cress)
Lineage: Eukaryota; Viridiplantae; Streptophyta; Magnoliopsida; Brassicales; Brassicaceae
Description: snRNA_13404
Source: RNAcentral
AUAUUAGGCCCAACUAAAGC